CUGGGGAUCCGGUAAGCAUGUGAUGCCGCUGGGGCACAGCAAGGGUGGCGUUGAUGCUGCAGCUGCGUUGUCAAUCUGCUGUUGUGAUUUGAAAGACAAAGUUGCUGGUUUAGCACUGGUACAGAGCCCCUAUGGUGGCACUCCCUUGGCUUCUGAUAUUCUUCGUGAAGGCCAGAUUGCAGACAAAGAAACCCGCAUGAUCAUGGAACUUUUGAUAUGCAAGCUAAUUAAGGGUGACAUUCAGGCACUGGAGGAUCUUACUUAUGAGAAGCAAAAGGAGUUCAUCAUGAAGCACAAGCUGCCAUAUGAGCAAAUUCCUCUGGUUUCCUUCCACUCUGAGGCAAGCAUAGCCCCUGAUAUGUUUGCCACAAUGACACAUAUAGCACAUGCCAAACUUCCCUGGCUGCCCCUACCAAAUUUUUUAACUCAAGAAGAGUCAGAUGAAAUCGUUCAAGCAGGACGCCAGCUGCCUGUAGUGAUUCCUUCAUCUGCUGCAAUGGCUGUGACUGCACUUCAUCUACAACUCAGGUACGGGGAGAAGAGUGACGGAUUGGUGACGUGCCGUGACGCUCAAGUUCCAGGUUCGGUUGUGGUCACGCCGGACAGGAAGCUUUGACCAUGCCUGGAUGGUUUAUUCCACAAGGAAAAAGAAUCCUAGUGAUGCUGAUGCCUCAGAAAUGUGUGAGGCCAUUUUAACUCUGCUUGUAGAGCUUGGAAAGUUAAGAGUAAUAGGGAAAAAGUUAGGAAAUUAAUCCAUCCAUCACACAAUUUUUUUGCUUCCAAUUUGUUUAAUUUGGUUUGUUAAACAAAAUAUUCCAAAGGAAAGAGAGGAGAAAUCUAACUUUUCCUCCUGUUUUUCAGCUGGCAUGUAUGUUUGGUGACUUAAUGCAUUAUAGAAUGCAGUGUUAGUUAUUUGUAUAGAAUGCAGGCUCAGAGUUAGAGUUUAUAAGAAAUAUUUGUAGUUGAGGUGUUGGUAGUCA
Molecule: non-coding RNA, 980 nt
Organism: Prunus avium (sweet cherry)
Lineage: Eukaryota; Viridiplantae; Streptophyta; Magnoliopsida; Rosales; Rosaceae
Source: RefSeq, a predicted model, not a curated record